This 3007-nucleotide long non-coding RNA is filed under the name Canis lupus familiaris (dog). Its description in RNAcentral is "lncRNA (ENSCAFG00000050332.1)". Lineage: Eukaryota; Metazoa; Chordata; Mammalia; Carnivora; Canidae. The record is from RNAcentral.
UUCAGCUGGCAGCAGUGGUGAAAGGAAUUACUUAACUAUUGUCAAAUGGACUUCUUUUUUUUUCAAAUGGAUUUCUUGUCAUUUGUUGGCCAUCCACACACACAGGAGAUGGGGUAGGAAUGCUGAGUGGUACAGCAAGCCUCUUGGGGGUAUUCUAGGUGCUCCCUUCUCACUUUUAUUGUAAGCAUACUAUUUUCACAGAGACUUGCUGAAGGAUUAAAAUUAUUUUCUCUUUUGGAAAAGCUUGACUGAUUUCACAAUUAUCUCUAGUAUGCUUUUUGUGGUGUCCUGCCGAAUUUAAAUAUUUAUGUGUCCCUGUUUAGUUAUUUUUUUAAAUCAGUAUGCAAUGUUAAGCCUUUUUAAAAUGUAAAAACCAUUUGCAUUGGUUAGGAAUUAGAUUUCUGCUGGCUAUUACUGGGCUAAAAGAUAUCUUUGUCUUAAAAUUAUUUAACCUCCAUUGCAAAAAGUUAAAAGUUUUCAAUUCGUCAGAAUGACAUCGCUCCCAAUUUUAUGCAAACAUGCAGACUGUUGGCAUACCUUAUAGCCUGUAUACUCAGUGCAAAUAUAGCUGCAUUUUUACCUCAGAGGGGCCAAGUAUUAAUGCCCAUGCCCUCCAUAAGGGUUGCUGGUUUUGCCAGUGAGCAGGUGUUUUAAGAAUUGAAAAUAAUCUUAUGGAAUUGCUACAAAGGAGUGCUUUUCUUCUCAGUUGUUAGAAGAAUUUAUUGUUAAAGGUAAGUGUGUAAAACCAGAUUUCUGAGAUGGUUUUUAUUUAUGUUUAUUAUAGUUAAAGUAGAGUGAGUUGCAUUGUGGGAAGAAACGACGUUGAAAUUCCAUGUUUUUGAAUCCUCUUUCUAUUUAUAAGUGAAAUGUUUGAUCCUCUAUCAGCCUUUCAUAUUUUACCAUGUAUGAAAUGGACUUACAUGGAACUACUACUGAUAAGGGAAAGUUGUAUGUUUGCGUCACCUAGACCAGAAAACCUUUACCUGUUUCCUCCUUUUAAGUUAUUUUAUACAUUGCAUAUAUUAAGUAAAAUAACUUUUCAAAUAUAGUUUAAUAACACUUAAAUUAGAGGUGUUUAUCUCACCUGGAAAGUAAUUGCUAUGCCAUACAUGCCAAGUGCCCCCUGCCCCGCAAGGCCUUGACAUGAUUAACAAGUGACUUUGUUAGUCUUGCAGAGAAGUGAUGCAUUAACAAUUUAAGAUUUUAAGAUUUAGACCAUGGUAAUUGUAGUUCUUAUUCUCUAGGGUUAUAUCAUAUGUAAUUUAAAAAUAUUUAAGACAAAUUUCCUGUAUACCUCUCAACUUCUUUGAUUUUUAUUUCAUCAUGAUAGAUAUGCUCUUUCCUUUUAAAUGACAUUUAUUGUGUGAAUUAAUGCAAAGUAGCCAAAUCCAGCUGUGUAGCAACUUCAAACACAGACCUGACCAAAAAAUCCCCAGUAACCAGGCAUGAUCAAAUCGUAGUGGUCAUUUGCAUCUCAACAAUUAUCAGUACCUUUUUCUAGAGCUAGUUAUGAAAAUGUUCAAGUUGGUUCAACAGUAUGUUGUUGAGGAUAUUUGUGUGUUUAUUCAGUAUACUUACAUAAAAACUAUUUUGCCUUCAGACAAAACCUUCAGAGUGAUCAUGACAAACCUUGCCUUCAGAGUGAUCAUGACAAACUUUGCCUUCAGAGUGAUCAUGACAGCUACGUUUUGUUGUUUUAUGAAGUUUAUUUCUCAAGAAAAGGGGAACAAAUUUUGGGUUUACUAAAGAUGCUUGAAGGCCACAGGUUUUAUUGCCAAAACCCAAGUUGUGACUUUCGCUGUUAGAUGGGAAGCAGAAUGAAAGAUUUGCAUGUGGCUGUCCCACUUAGUAGGCUAGAAACGACUUGCAGUGUUAUAAUGAUAUAAACCUAAAGAGGAAGGUGCAGGUACACAUGAAGUAGCUAGCCAUACAGUUGGGAACUCAGUGCCUAUGAUCUACUUGAUUUUUUUUUCAGGAAGUACAUCUUCUGGCCCUUCCUCAUUAUCUGUUCUAGAAUAUCAGUGCAGUGCACUGCUACUGUUUUAUUCACUUGGCCAUAGACUCUUUCUUCCAACAGUUGCAUAUUCUUUCUGUAAACGGAUUGCAUUGGCAGCAUUGUGUCUUUCAUCUUGCACACUAGCUCAACAUAGUAUUCUCUCUGAUUUCUAGGCUAGUUAUUUGAGGUAUGAGUUUUCCAUAGAAUGUGCAUUGAUACUGCAUUGCCAUUCUUCUAUGGAAAGAAAACUUUUGAUGAUGAAACAAUAAAGAUUUUAAAUAUCUAUUUUAGUUUGUGGGUGUUUUUGAAAUGAAAAUAUACUGUGCACUUCAUUAUUCAUUUUAAUAAUGUGAUAUAAAGCAAGUAUGACAUUAGUCAUUAAUGUUAGACUUGCAGGAAUUUCACUUCCAAAAUAGAAUUGAAACCAUAGUAAUGUUAUGGUGAAGCCCUAUGAUUUUGUGCUGUGGUGAAAGGAUUGGUAACCUGGGGAAGUAGAAUUUUUACCUAACCCUUUACAAAAAAGCCAUAAAUGAUUUUGUUGAUAUAAAACAAAAGUCUUAGCCCGGCUCCUCCCAGGGCCCCUCCCCCUUGGAUGCUUUUUAAUUCCUUUUUUUUCCGUCUUCCUACGUUGAUAGAAGCCCGAACUCUUCUCACUGUAGCAUUCCAGCUGUUCUCCCUUUAAAUCUCGGAUGGAAUUUGUAGGUUUUCAGGAUGAUUUGAACGUUAUCUAUGUAAGUUGGCGUGGACAGGUGACUUGGGGACCCUAAUCUUCUGCCAUCUUGCCCCACCAAAGUAGGUAACCCUCAAACCGUCCUGAACACCUACGAAUCUGAUCUGAUAUUUAAAGAGAUAAUAGCCAGAAUGCUACAGAGAGAAGGGUUUUCGAUUCUAACGAGGGAGGGAGACAGAAAAAAAUAAAAUAAGAAGGAAUCAAGUUGGGGAGGGGCACCCCGAGGAGCCAGGCUGAGGCCAGUGGUGAAAGCCUCCAGGACAAGAAAAUCCAGCCCCAGA